RNAcentral lists this ribosomal RNA (253 nucleotides) under uncultured bacterium. RNAcentral describes it as "partial 16S ribosomal RNA". It matches the Rfam family "Bacterial small subunit ribosomal RNA", at positions 524 to 776 of the family's 1533-position model. The record is from RNAcentral.
UACGUAGGGGGCAAGCGUUGUCCGGAUUCAUUGGGCGUAAGGAGCGUGUAGGCGGCCAGGUAGGUCGGUUGUGAAAACUGGAGGCUCAACCUUCAGAGGUCGACCGAAACCAUCUGGCUAGAGUCCGGGGGAGGAGAGUGGAAUUCCUGGUGUAGCGGUGAAAUGCGCAGAUAUCAGGAAGAACACCCGUGGCGAAAGCGGCUCUCUGGAACGGUACUGACGCUGAGACGCGAAAGCGUGGGGAGCGAACAGG